Molecule: ribosomal RNA, 319 nt
Filed under: uncultured eukaryote
Lineage: Eukaryota
Description: partial 18S ribosomal RNA
Rfam family: Eukaryotic small subunit ribosomal RNA
Source: RNAcentral
CCCUUAGAUGUUCUGGGCAGCACGCGCGCUACAAUGGUCUUCGCAAACGGAUGCAUUCUCGAAGGAGAAUGCCAAUCUUGGAAUCUAUGCCUUGGUCGGGACAGUUGCUUGCAAUUUUUCGACUCGAACCAGGAAUUCCUUGUAAUCGUGAUUCAUCACACCACGAUGAAUACGUCCCUGCCCUUUGUACACACCGCCCGUCGCUCCUACCGAUCGAAGAGUUAGGUGAAUUGUUUUGAUCGAUAAGAUUUGACUAUGGUCAACUCUCGUUGUGAAAUUCUGUGAAUCUGACUGUUUAGAGGAAGGAAAAGUCGUAACA